GAUGAACGCUAGCGGCAGGCCUAACACAUGCCAGUCGAGGGAGAGGUUACCUUCGGGUCACCAAAACCGGCGCACGGGUGCGUAACGCGUAUACAAUCUGCCUUUCACAUAGGGAUAGCCCGAAGAAAUUUGGAUUAAUACCUAAUGGUAUAUAAGAGCGGCAUCGUUUUUAUAUUAAAGCUACGGUGGUGAAAGAUGAGUAUGCGUUCUAUUAGCUAGUUGGAGAGGUAACGGCUCCCCAAGGCGACGAUAGAUAGGGGUUCUGAGAGGGAUGUCCCCCACACUGGUACUGAGAUACGGACCAGACUCCUACGGGAGGCAGCAGUGAGGAAUAUUGGACAAUGGUCGGAAGACUGAUCCAGCCAUGCCGCGUGCAGGAUGAAGGUCCUAUGGAUUGUAAACUGCUUUUGUAAGGGAAGAAUAAGGAGUACGUGUACUUUGAUGACGGUACCUUACGAAUAAGCAUCGGCUAACUCCGUG
This 480-nucleotide ribosomal RNA is filed under the name uncultured bacterium. RNAcentral's name for it is "partial 16S ribosomal RNA". It matches the Rfam family "Bacterial small subunit ribosomal RNA", at positions 28 to 507 of the family's 1533-position model. The record is from RNAcentral.